This 888-nucleotide ribosomal RNA is filed under the name Kellermania pseudoyuccigena. RNAcentral describes it as "eukaryotic LSU rRNA". It matches the Rfam family "Eukaryotic large subunit ribosomal RNA", at positions 60 to 966 of the family's 3401-position model. Lineage: Eukaryota; Fungi; Ascomycota; Dothideomycetes; Botryosphaeriales; Planistromellaceae. The record is from RNAcentral.
AGAAACCAACAGGGAUUGCCUCAGUAACGGCGAGUGAAGCGGCAACAGCUCAAAUUUGAAAUCUGGCGCCUUCGGCGUCCGAGUUGUAAUUUGUAGAGGAUGUUUCGGCGAGGGCUCCCGUCUAAGUCCCUUGGAACAGGGCGUCGCAGAGGGUGAGAAUCCCGUAUGUGAUGGGUUGCUCGAGCCAUGUGAAACUCCUUCGACGAGUCGAGUUGUUUGGGAAUGCAGCUCUAAAUGGGAGGUAAAUUUCUUCUAAAGCUAAAUACCGGCCAGAGACCGAUAGCGCACAAGUAGAGUGAUCGAAAGAUGAAAAGCACUUUGGAAAGAGAGUUAAAAAGUACGUGAAAUUGUUGAAAGGGAAGCGCUUGCAACCAGACUCGCGCGCAGUUGCUCAGCCGGUCUCCUGACCGGUGUACUCUUCUGCGUCCGGGCCAGCAUCAGUUCGGGCGGUCGGAUAAAGGCCUCGGGAAUGUGGCUCCCCUCGGGGAGUGUUAUAGCCCGGGGUGCAAUGCGGCCAGCCUGGACUGAGGAACUCGCUUCGGCUAGGAUGCUGGCGUAAUGGUUGUAAGCGGCCCGUCUUGAAACACGGACCAAGGAGUCUAACAUCUAUGCGAGUGUUUGGGUGUCAAACCCAUGCGCGUAAUGAAAGUGAACGGAGGUGGGAACCCUCACGGGUGCACCAUCGACCGAUCCUGAUGUCUUCGGAUGGAUUUGAGUAAGAGCAUAGCUGUUGGGACCCGAAAGAUGGUGAACUAUGCCUGAAUAGGGUGAAGCCAGAGGAAACUCUGGUGGAGGCUCGCAGCGGUUCUGACGUGCAAAUCGAUCGUCAAAUUUGGGUAUAGGGGCGAAAGACUAAUCGAACCAUCUAGUAGCUGGUUCCUGCCGAAG